UACGUAGGUGGCAAGCGUUGUCCGGAAUGACUGGGCGUAAAGGGAGCGUAGGCGGCGCGGUAAGUUAGGAGUGAAAUCCCGGGGCUCAACCCCGGAACUGCUUUUAAAACUGCCGUGCUUGAGUGAUGGAGAGGAAAGCGGAAUUCCUAGUGUAGCGGUGGAAUGCGUAGAUAUUAGGAGGAACACCAGAGGCGAAGGCGGCUUUCUGGACAUUAACUGACGCUGAGGCUCGAAAGCGUGGGGAGCAAACA
Molecule: ribosomal RNA, 251 nt
Filed under: uncultured bacterium
Lineage: Bacteria
Description: partial 16S ribosomal RNA
Rfam family: Bacterial small subunit ribosomal RNA
Source: RNAcentral